RNAcentral lists this ribosomal RNA (254 nucleotides) under uncultured bacterium. Its description in RNAcentral is "partial 16S ribosomal RNA". It matches the Rfam family "Bacterial small subunit ribosomal RNA", at positions 524 to 776 of the family's 1533-position model. The record is from RNAcentral.
UACGGGGGGAGCAAGCGUUGUUCGGAUUUACUGGGCGUAAAGGGCGCGUAGGCGGUCAGCACAAGUCAGUUGUGAAAUCUCCGGGCUUAACCCGGAGCGGCCAAGUGAUACUGUCGUGCUAGAGUGCGGAAGGGGCUACUGGAAUUCUCGGUGUAGCGGUGAAAUGCGUAGAUAUCGAGAGGAACACCUGCGGCGAAGGCGGGUAGCUGGGCCGACACUGACGCUGAAGCGCGAAAGCCAGGGGAGCGAACGGG